Molecule: long non-coding RNA, 1569 nt
Organism: Carassius gibelio (silver crucian carp)
Lineage: Eukaryota; Metazoa; Chordata; Actinopteri; Cypriniformes; Cyprinidae
Exons: 5
Source: RefSeq, a predicted model, not a curated record
GCAUGCACAGAACACAGGAGGGGAGGGAACGAGAGCAUCGCAUGCGUGCGUGCUUUCAAAAAGUAAACCUGGCAUCUCCUCUCACGUCCAUGCAUAAACACUGUAAGCAUGCUUUUCAAGGGAGGAAUUCCCCAUCGUGGAAAUUUAACUGCAUGUUCCGUUAUCUGGAUGGCUGAGACGCAGCGUUCGAUGGCCGAAUACUCAAGGACUGCGAGUUCUGAAUGGAAAACGCAUCGCUGAAGAGAUGCACUGAAGAGUUGGGCUUCUGACUAGAUGCUUCUGCGCUGCUCAGAGAUUUUAGCGUCAUGUUCUUUAACGCGAGACGCACGGGAUCCUCUAUUUGUCCCCGACACACGGCCACUCGUAGCUUACUUUUUGACAGAGAGGAAUAUGCACGUCAAUUGUUAAAAGUCAACUUUAUGAGAUGUUCCACACAAAAAAAAAAAAGUGUUGACAGGAGGUAGUUGCUAUCUUUGGUUAUCUAGCUGUAUGAGUGUUUAUCUUCCUUCAUAAAGCUAGAUAACCGAAAGUAGAAACGUCCUCCUUAACUGCAUAGUGGACAAGCUGGGAAGCAAUGAUCGCAGGGAACUGCAUGAGCCUCUCAAACUGCAGUGUCUUUGUGAGAGACCAGAGGACUGGAGCUAAGGGGGGAAACGCCAUCUGCUCCCCUCCCUUCUUCAUCAACGGAAGCAUUUAGUGCCAUCUGUGCCCCCUGAGAAAAGAGGAAAAAAAGAAAGGAGUGAGACUCUCCAUCCCAAGUGCCAAUGGGGACAAAGAGGCUGCCAGUUGCCACGGACCACCAGAUGCUGGAAGACUGCAAGUCUGAAUGAGGGGUGUGCUUUCAGGAAGCCAUCUUGAUGGAGAAGCUGGCUGCUGCUCCCUAAAAUGGCUGUGUUGGCAUGAGGCUACUGGCAAUGAAACUGAACAAUCCCCAUUGUUGUCAUCAGCUACUGGAGAAACUGAGGCCAUCCUGCUAUGUUUGAAUCAAAUGGUAAAUCACAUCACCUCAGGAAUCCAGCGUCCAACAUCUCUUCCAGAUGGUCUGCUGUGGAAAGCAAAUGAGGAAUGGUUUAAAAUGUGCACUAACUAAUUUAACUGGGUGUCAAAACCUUGCAGUCUUCAGACAAUCACUAAUACUGGAUGGGCGUGUGGAUUAGGGCUGUUCACCCAGUUAAUCUUAGAUGUUAGAAAACGUGUUGUAGUCUCAUCAGUGCCAUAUAAACUGAAGAGAAUAAUGUGCCUUAAUGUGUGAAAAGUUUACAAUGAGAGUUGAUGUUAACGUCAAUGUCUUGAAUUUUGCUUUUAAUGCUUCUUUGCAACUUUCAUGUUAGCAUUCUUUUUAUUUUAUUUUUUGUUAUUGUACUUACAAAAUGUUCCAGUUUCAAUGGAUGUACAAGAAAUUGUGCUUAAUCCAAAUAUUUUGUAUAGCUAUACUGUAUGUAUGGAGUUUAAUACAAGAAUUAUGGUCAGUUUCUCUCUGGAAUUUCAUUUGUCUGAUUAUGUGAUGUAUGAAACAAGCUGUAUACACUGCACAAAAAAUGACAUUAAAGCAUUACACUGAAAAAGCAA